UACGGAGGGUGCAAGCGUUGUCCGGAUUUAUUGGGUUUAAAGGGUGCGUAGGCGGCCUGUUAAGUCAGAGGUGAAAUCCCGUGGCUCAACCACGGAACUGCCUUUGAUACUGGCAGGCUUGAGUAAGGUCGAGGCGGGCGGAACUGGUGGUGUAGCGGUGAAAUGCAUAGAUACCAUCAAGAACCCCGAUUGCGAAGGCAGCUCGCUGGACCUUAACUGACGCUGAGGCACGAAAGCGUGGGGAGCGAACAGG
RNAcentral lists this unclassified non-coding RNA (253 nucleotides) under uncultured Hymenobacteraceae bacterium. RNAcentral describes it as "contains 16S-23S intergenic spacer region". It matches the Rfam family "Bacterial small subunit ribosomal RNA", at positions 524 to 776 of the family's 1533-position model. Lineage: Bacteria; Pseudomonadati; Bacteroidota; Cytophagia; Cytophagales; Hymenobacteraceae. The record is from RNAcentral.